Molecule: RNase P RNA, 384 nt
Filed under: Ruminococcus sp.
Lineage: Bacteria; Bacillati; Bacillota; Clostridia; Eubacteriales; Oscillospiraceae
Description: RNase P RNA component class A
Rfam family: Bacterial RNase P class A
About the family: Ribonuclease P (RNase P) is a ubiquitous endoribonuclease, found in archaea, bacteria and eukarya as well as chloroplasts and mitochondria. Its best characterised activity is the generation of mature 5'-ends of tRNAs by cleaving the 5'-leader elements of precursor-tRNAs.
Source: RNAcentral
CGAGUAAGCUGUGCGGACGAGGAAAGUUUAUUCUUUCUUAGGAAAGUCCGGGCACCAAAGGGCAUGGAUAGCUGCUAACGGCAGCCGAGGGCGACCUCAGGGCAAGUGCAACAGAGAUAUACCGCCGGAGCGUAAGCUUCGGUAAGGAUGGAAAGGCGAGGUAAGAGCUCACCCGCCGCUCCGAGAGAGAGCGGUGCUGUAAACCCUAUCCGGUGCAACGUCAGGGGCUUUUGCUCCCGGUGUUCUUUCAUACAGUUUAUGUUUUGCAUAAACUCGUCUGCCCGACGGUAUGAAUACAUCAGAACGGCUCGAUUUGCGCGGCGACGCGUAAACAAGAUAGAUGUUCGCGCACGACAAAACCCGGCUUACAGGCUUACUCGUUCG